UGUAAAACUCUUUCUGGAGUCUGUGACCACAUCAUAUCCCUGUCGUCAGAUCCUCUGGUUUCACAGUCUGCUCACCUGGAAGUGAUUCAACUGGCAAACAUUAAACCAAGCGAAGGGCUGGGUAUGUAUAUUAAAUCUACAUAUGAUGGCCUCCAUGUAAUUACUGGAACCACAGAAAAUUCACCUGCAGAUCGGUGCAAGAAAAUCCAUGCUGGCGAUGAAGUGAUUCAAGUUAAUCAUCAGACUGUGCCUCUUAUACCUAGAAGUCCCACAAGCAGCGUUGCCACGCCUUCCAGCACCAUCAGUACACCCACCAAAAGAGACAGUUCUGCCCUCCAGGAUCUCUACAUUCCCCCUCCUCCUGCAGAACCAUAUAUUCCCAGGGAUGAAAAAGGAAACCUUCCUUGUGAAGACCUCAGAGGACAUAUGGUGGGCAAGCCAGUGCAUAAGGGAUCUGAAUCACCAAAUUCAUUUCUGGAUCAGGAAUAUCGAAAGAGAUUUAAUAUUGUCGAAGAAGAUACUGUCUUAUAUUGCUAUGAAUAUGAAAAAG
This 550-nucleotide small RNA is filed under the name Pan troglodytes (chimpanzee). Its description in RNAcentral is "processed transcript". The record is from RNAcentral. Lineage: Eukaryota; Metazoa; Chordata; Mammalia; Primates; Hominidae.